ACUGGGAGUGGGGCUUUCCUGGGUGUGGAAGUUUAGGAAGAGGUCCCUCUGCAGGGCGGGAAGGCGAUCAGACCGCGGGCCUGUGGUUUGCUUCCUUGGAGAACAGAACUGUAUUGUCCCGGAGCUUUGGGCAAACUCACCAAGAGUCGCCUCUUUCCCAGCCUCUGCAACCCUUCUGGCAACAAUCUGGUCAUUCUUGUGCCCCGGAUAUGGAUUAAUUGUUUGCUACUCUGAGCUAGCUGUGUGCUGUCCCCAAGGGGGUUGAUUGUGGCCAUUCCCCACUGCCAGCCCAAAUGACAUUUGCUCAGGACAUUUCCAGUAUGUCUUCCUAAUGAAAAUCCGAUGCAAGCAAGUGGUGAUCCAGAAGCCUGAUGGAUCAAGUCACUAUCAGAAUAAAAGCCAAAUUGUGGCAGCAACCUA
Long non-coding RNA from Eptesicus fuscus (big brown bat), 420 nucleotides. RefSeq lists it as uncharacterized. The transcript has 2 exons. The record is from RefSeq and is a predicted model, not a curated record. Lineage: Eukaryota; Metazoa; Chordata; Mammalia; Chiroptera; Vespertilionidae.